UCUUGAAAAAUCAUCUAUUAUAGAGAGGAAAUACUUAUUCCCCCCGGAGUAGUUGUGGAGGCUGGACCCCACAAAUCAGAGUGGACAUAUUCCAAUGGAGAGGUAGUUUUAUGUUUUCCAGAAUUAAAAUGGAGUCUGUGAUGUUUGCCAAAGGUGCAACUUUCACAGAAAGGUAUUUUUGAUAUUUGGUCCUUACCAAAUACCCCCCCCUUUUGUAGAAUUGUGAGGCCUUUUUCACCCACAUGUGCAAGCCUCUUAUGCCAUUUUAAGGUGGGAUCAGAUUCAGUAUUAGAGAUAGUUGCAUUAUGUUCAAGUAUUAUUCCAGCUCUAACUACAUAGAUUCCAUUUUUCUUAACACCCUUAAAGAUGACAAGAGACCCCUUGAUCACUUUCAUCAAUCCAUCUCCAAUCCUACCACACAGCCCUAGGUCAUCUAAUUCUCCCAUAGAUAUCAGAUUUCUUUUGAGUUCAGGGACAUAUCUGACUCUCUCUAGGGUAUACAUGUAUCCAUUUUCAAAUUUUAGGGUCACAUUUCCUAACCCUUCAACUCUGCAGGCUAUAUUAUUUCCCAUUACUACUUCACCACCAGCUAGCCUCUUAAAAUCUUGAAGCCAGGCCCUUUCAUGUGUAAUAUGAAAGGUGCAGCCUGAGUCCAAAAUCCACUCAUGUACAUAUCUGUUGUGGGCAUAAUUAGCCACUUCCAGGUCAGGUUGCUGAGCCACCACAUAUACAUCAACUGUAUUAGGCUCAGCAGGCUCAACUACAUUCCCCUCAUCAACAUUCUUCUCUUUAGGUUCAAUUUUCUUGUUAUAGCAGUCUUUUAUGUAAUGACCGAGCUUACCACAGCCAUAGCACUUUCUGUUAUUUCUAGAUUUUGAUUUAGAUCUUGAUUUACUCCUGAACUUCUUCCUANUUUGUAGACAUUUGAUUUUCAAUAAGGACUUUCCAGCUUUUAAACUUUUCAAAGGUUUCAGAUUUGUGCUUUAGUAGAAACACCCACACCUUUCUUGAAAAGCCAUCAAUUAUUGAGAGGAAAUACUUAUUUUCCCCUGGAGUAGUUGUGGAGGUUGGUCCCCACAAAUCAGAGUGGACAUAUUCCAAUGGAGAAGUAGUUUUAUGUUUUCCAGAAUUAAAAUGGAGUCUGUGAUGUUUGCCAAAAGUGCAGCUUUCACAGAAAGGUAUUUUUGAUAUUUGGUCCUUACCAAAUACCCCAUUUUUAUGUAGGAUUGUGAGGCAUUUUUCACCAACAUGUGCAAGCCUCUUAUGCCAUUUUAAGGUGGAAUCAGAUUCAGUAUUAGAGAUAGUUGUAUUAUUUUCAAGUAUUAUUUCAGCUCUAACCACAUAGAUUCCAUCUUUCUUGACAUCCUUAAAGAUGACAAGAGAUCCCUUGAUCACUUUCAUCAAUCCAUCCCUAAUCCUACCACACAGCCCUAGGUCAUCUAAUUCUCCCAUAGAGAUCAGAUUUCUUUUAAGUUCAGGAACAUACCUCACUCUCUCUAGGGUAUACAUGUAUCCAUUUUCAAAUUUUAAGGUCACAUUACCUAGUCCUUCAACUCUGCAGGCAAUAUUAUUCCCCAUCACCACUUCACCACCAGCUAACUUCUUAAAAUCUUGAAGCUAGGACCUUUCAUGUGUAAUAUGAAAGGUACAACCUGAGUUCAAAAUCCACUCUUGAACAUAUCUAUUGUGGGCUAAUUUGCCACCUCCAGAUCAGGUUGCUGAGCCACCACAUAUACAUCAACAGUAUUAGGCUCAGUAGGCUCAAC
This 1766-nucleotide long non-coding RNA is filed under the name Olea europaea subsp. europaea. The record is from RNAcentral. Lineage: Eukaryota; Viridiplantae; Streptophyta; Magnoliopsida; Lamiales; Oleaceae.